GAUGAACGCUGGCGGCGUGCCUAAUACAUGCAAGUCGAGCGAACAGACGAGGAGCUUGCUCCUCUAACGUUAGCGGCGGACGGGUGAGUAACACGUGGAUAACCUACCUAUAAGACUGGGAUAACUUCGGGAAACCGGAGCUAAUACCGGAUAAUAUAUUGAACCGCAUGGUUCAAUAGUGAAAGACGGUUUUGCUGUCACUUAUAGAUGGAUCCGCGCCGCAUUAGCUAGUUGGUAAGGUAACAACUUACCAAGGCAACGAUGCGUAGCCGACCUGAGAGGGUGAUCGGCCACACUGGAACUGAGACACGGUCCAGACUCCUACGGGAGGCAGCAGUAGGGAAUCUUCCGCAAUGGGCGAAAGCCUGACGGAGCAACGCCGCGUGAGUGAUGAAGGUCUUCGGAUCGUAAAACUCUGUUAUUAGGGAAGAACAAAUGUGUAAGUAACUAUGCACGUCUUGACGGUACCUAAUCAGAAAGCCACGGCUAACUACGUG
This 497-nucleotide ribosomal RNA is filed under the name uncultured bacterium. Its description in RNAcentral is "partial 16S ribosomal RNA". It matches the Rfam family "Bacterial small subunit ribosomal RNA", at positions 28 to 507 of the family's 1533-position model. The record is from RNAcentral.